ACUCCUACGGGAGGCAGCAGUUAGGAAUAUUCGGCAAUGGGGGAAACCCUGACCGAGCGACACUGCGUGAAGGAGGAAGGCCUUAGGGUUGUAAACUUCUGAACGAGAGACGAUAAUGACGGUAUCUCGGUAAUAGCACCGGCUAACUCCGUGCCAGCAGCCGCGGUAAUACGGAGGGUGCGAGCGUUAUCCGGAAUCACUGGGCGUAAAGGGCGCGUAGGCGGUUACAUAAGUCCGAUGUUAAAGCGUAGGGCUCAACCCUAUAAAGGCGUUGGAUACUGUGAAACUAGACUUCUGGAGAGGUAAGUGGAAUUACCAGAGUAGCGGUGAAAUGCGUAGAUACUGGUAGGAACACCCAUAGCGAAGGCAGCUUACUGGACAGAGAGUGACGCUGAGGCGCGAAAGUGUGGGGAGCAAACCGGAUUAGAUACCCUGGUAGGAUAGCGUA
RNAcentral lists this ribosomal RNA (448 nucleotides) under uncultured bacterium. RNAcentral describes it as "bacterial SSU rRNA". It matches the Rfam family "Bacterial small subunit ribosomal RNA", at positions 335 to 804 of the family's 1533-position model. The record is from RNAcentral.